GCUGGGCGUGGUGGUGGGUGCCUGUAAUCCCAGCUACUUGGGAAGCUGAGGCAGGAGAAUCGCUUGAACCCAGGAGGCUGAGGCUGCAGUGAGCAGAGAUUGCACCACUGUGCUCCAGCCUGGGCAAUAGAGCAAGACUCUGUCUCAU
Molecule: small RNA, 148 nt
Filed under: Papio anubis (olive baboon)
Lineage: Eukaryota; Metazoa; Chordata; Mammalia; Primates; Cercopithecidae
Description: Metazoan signal recognition particle RNA (ENSPANG00000040017.1)
Rfam family: Metazoan signal recognition particle RNA
About the family: The signal recognition particle (SRP) is a universally conserved ribonucleoprotein. It is involved in the co-translational targeting of proteins to membranes.
Source: RNAcentral